Molecule: RNA transcript, 2775 nt
Organism: Cheilinus undulatus (humphead wrasse)
Lineage: Eukaryota; Metazoa; Chordata; Actinopteri; Labriformes; Labridae
Gene: dub
Gene name: duboraya
Exons: 8
Source: RefSeq, a predicted model, not a curated record
UCACACACACUCCACAUAAACGUGAACGCCUGCAGACGACGAGCAGGAUGGAGGAGGAGGCUGCAUCGCGGCGCUCUGUUGCUGAACUUGCCGGUCGAUUCAAAGGCUCAGCUCCUCCACACGACGCCGCCGGAGAGAAAACCGAUAAACCAGUGAGACGGCGACCUCCUCGUUCCUUACAGCUCCCCAAACCCCAGACAGACGACCGGGAGCCAACAGGUGUCACCUCUCCUCUACCUGCCAAAGCCAAGAGGAACUCAGCUCUGAUCGAGAAGCUGCAGGCCAACCUGGCCCUCUCUCCCACGGCGUUACUCCCGUCUCCAAAGAGCCCCGGGUUCAGGCUGCUGCCUCCGGCCUUCCCCCCUCAGUCUCCUGGAUCCGCCCCUGCUACCACACCAACCCCAUCCACGCCAGCCCCCGUCAGCCCCGUCGUAGCUCCGCCUUUAACCAAAGAGGAAGGCCCCGCCUCCUUUGAAGACCCUCCCACAACAGCAGAGGGGUCCAUCCUGUCAAACAUCAACAAGGGCCGAGCUCGCCACUCCAUUCGACGACGCCCACCGUCCCGCCGCCACAGGAAGUCCAGCAGCGGGGAUGAAGUUGCCAACGAGGGAGUGGAAACCUGUCUGAGCUCGACGAGAGAGCAGGGUGACAAAACUAGAGAAGAAGGAGGAGGAGGAGGAGGGGAGAGGGAGGAAGAUCAAGCUGAGGAGGUGAAGGAGGAACAAAAAGAUGCUUCAGCAACAAAUGAAACCAAAGAAGAAGAGAAGUCGGAGAUCAACGUAGAGCCGAGAGAAGAAGAGAAGAAGGAUGGAGAGAUCACAUCUACCAGAGGAGGAGAGGAGGAGAAGUCUUCAUCAGGGAGAAAAGAGGAGGAGGAGGGGAACAAUGGAGGAAAACAGGAUGAAGAUUCAACUAAAGGGGUGCCGAACACAGAGAGCAGAGAAGAAAAGAGCGAGUUUGGAUGCUGCUGAUGAGGAGGGUCUCCUAAAGAACGACUGACAGAGAAGAAAAAGAGGAAGAAGUCCAUCUGCUUCACAGAUGUCCACUCCUACAGACUUCAGGACCUCAAGGGGCUCCAGCCGUCUCCUAUCAGACAGUCCAGAACAGAGAGGGGGGACAGGAAACUGUCUUCAUCUGUGUGCAGAAAGGUAAAACCCAGAACAUCCCAGCAGAGACAGAGGGGUGGAGGACUUCCUGAUCUCCCAGAGACAAUCACAGUCCUCUCCAGAUCCACAACAGUCCGGCUCACAGCUCAGUUUACUGCAUGCAUGCCGGAUGCUCUGAUGAGUGUAAAAACUUCUGAGAAGCUGAAUCACUCCAGUCUUUUUCACCAGCAUGGAUCUAAAAGCAGCGCGUUGGCAGGAUGAGUUGAUCAGAUUAUGGACCUGGAAGUUGUUUCUGAGUAAAGCUCACUCUGCUUCAGGUGUUGGUAGAGUCUCCAUCUCCUCAUUAGAUCAGCAUCUAACAUCAUGUCAGCCUGAAUACUCUCAUUUUAACUGCACAAUCACUUUUAUUUACUCCCUGCUGGCUCUGGGCUCAGGUUUCCUUCCUGACUGUGGUGUCAUGUUAGCAGAUCGACCUCACAGAGCAGAUGGUGAGCAGGAGCAGCGUUUCCUGCUGAACUGAGCUGUAUGUAGCGGUACGGACGAACAUCCCGAAAGACUCAUUCAGAAAUGUCAUAACUGUGUUGUAUCUGAUGCACCUGGCCAGGUCUCACCUGAAUGAGAGAUGCUCAUCUAAAGCAGGAGACCGGGGACCCCCAAAAUAAAGGUGCCAGAGACCUGGGACACCCCCCCCCACCCCCCGUACCUGGAGGUGGUUGGACACAGCCAUGGACAUUCUAGAGGUGGGGGGACAAGAGGGAGAGCUUUCUGGGGCCCACCUAAACUGGGGGCCCAUGAAGGUCAGCAAAGCCAUGGUCCACUUCACAGUUAAGUUACAAUAACCAUAUUUUAUAUUAAACCUGAAUAAAAACAAUUCUUAACAGAGCAAUAAAUACCUUUUUUAUCCAUUUGUGCUGUAGUAAAUAGUCUUCUUAAAAAUCUGCAUAGUUAUUCCUAAAAACAGAAUUAAAAUGGAUUGAAAAUAGCUCGAAUGGGUUAAAAUGGCAAAUAUUGGUGGAAAAGGUAGUGAAAUGGGAUUUUAAAGUAGAAGAAAAGGGUUAGGAUGCCAAAAAUAGAUAAGAGAAGCAGCAAUAAAUGGCCAAAAUAGGCAUAAGAAGUGGUAAAAGGGGAUUUAAGUGACCGUCCCAUAGACUUACAAGAUGGUGAGCUUCGGGCAUGUUAAUGUUCCUAAAUCAGAUAUUUAUCUGCUAAAAUACAAAUGAAUGAAGAAGACGAAUAUCAGCUACAGUUUCAAUAGAGCCCUCGCUCUGAGGCCAGUACUCAGAUCCUGAUCAAUAAAGUUUUAACCUGGAAUAGCCCUGCCUAAAAACUAAAAGUGGUACUUCAAAUGAGUGUCUCCACUCCAGUCUGAUAGUUAGGAGUCCAAACACUAAGAAUAAAAGUCUGAUCUGAUUUGUGGAGAGGUACUUUGGCUCUGUCCUCAAUAAGGUUAAUCUAUGUGGGGAUCUUGGUUAUAAAACCGGGAGUACACAGCGGUAUAAAUGUUAUCGCCGCAGUAUUUUUAGAUCGCGCUGCAGGAGGCAAACACAACACAGUUCCUUACUCUGUUAAAUAAGAAGUCCUCAUUAAGGCAUGAUCCAAGACCAUGAUCCAGGACCAUGAUCCAGGACCAUGAUCCAGGACCAUGUAACAGACAGAAAAAGGUCAGCUC